Choloepus didactylus (southern two-toed sloth) is the source of this 1639-nucleotide long non-coding RNA. RefSeq lists it as uncharacterized. The record is from RefSeq and is a predicted model, not a curated record. The transcript has 2 exons. Lineage: Eukaryota; Metazoa; Chordata; Mammalia; Pilosa; Megalonychidae.
CCCUCACCCACUUCCGGCGCGCGGGCCGCGGGCGCGCUGAGGUGCGAGAGCGGUGGGGUCGCGUCGCGCCGGCUCGGGACAAAUGGCAAAAACAACUGCCUUGAUUUCAUGUGAAUGGGAGAGCUUAUCCAGUGGGCGCAUCACACGUGACUCAAAAAAUGCCGUCUGUCGAACACUCCAGAAAAAGGACAAGCUGCUGUGCCCUGGAGAUCCGCUGGAGGACGCAGAGAGGGCUCUGGGAUGACGGCAACACCAGUGUUGGAGAUGAGGAGCAGUCUGAGUAAGGUCAUUUCAGGAAAAGUCGGAGUGAAAAACAUGUACCUGAGGUAAUAUUUUAUGCAAAAUGUCAUUUGCAAUAUGUACAUAAAACCAAAUUGAUAAAUAUUAUAAAUCUACUUCUGUUUCCUUUACAUUUUGUUAUGGGUUGAAUUGUGUCCCCCCCAAAAAUCUGUUGAAAUCCUAACCCCCAGGGCCUCAGAAUGGGAUCUGAGUUGGAAAUAGGGUCAUGGCAGAUGGGAUUAGUGGAGAUGAGGCCACACUGGAACAGAGGAGCCCUUCACCCAACAUGACUGUGUCUUUGUAAGUAAAGGAGGAGGGACACAGGCGCACAGGGAGAAGGCUGGAAGAUGGGGGCCGUGAGCCCAGGGUCGUCAGGGGUUGCCAGCAGCCACCAGGAGCUGGAAGGGGCAAGGACAGGGCCUCCGUGCAGGUUUCAGAGGGAGCCUGUCCCUGCCGACAUCUUGAUUUUGGACGUCUAGCUCCAGAAGCACGAGAUGAUAGAUUUCUGUUGUUCGAAGCCGCCCAGUUUGUGGCACUUUGUUCCAGCAGUCCUAGGAAACCAAGACAUGCUCUCAAACCGUUGAGCCAAAAUUGACCAGAUCUUUUUGGGGAGCUUUGCUGGGGAGACAGGCAUUCACCCCACAUUCCGGCAGGCCCAGGAACUGUGAGCCCAGUUUCUAGGCCUCGAGUAUCUGACUGACCAGCGCCACAUCCUAUGCUCACAUCUCAGGGGCGAGGGUCUGAGAGCAAAGACCUACUAAGACUUCAGAUUUUCCACGUGGCAGAAGGGAGUUCGGGGCCUGCACCACCAAAGCUCCCGUCGCUGUGCCUUGGAACCCAUCAGUGGCAGGGCUGAGACUGAGACCUGGGACCACGUGCCUUGCCACUGUCCCCUUCUGUCCUGCCUUGGGUCUGGGGACGGUGUCCACACCACCUCAUUGGUUGCUGGCGUCCGAGGCUUCAGGAGUGGAGAUCUCGCCUUGCCCUGCUGGACUGGGAACCUCUGGCCAGGAGCCCGAGUUGACCACCGACAAGACGAAAUCCCAGCAGCAGGCCAGUAACCAGCGUGCCGGGGACUCGGGGGGCAAAGGGUACGGAAAGACGUAUUCCAGGCUGCCUCGCCCGAAAGCUCCUCGUCUCCUCUUAACACCAGCUGUAUCUGACCUUGAGUGCAGCAUCUCCAACAUAAAAUCGCCAGGUUCCUCUUUUUGCCUCCCCCCAUUUUAUAUCCAAGCACGUUUUAAAGGGGGAGGUGCUCAUGUGAGGUGCCUAUUCCCAGUUUAUAUUUUACAGGUUUUGUCUUUCUCCAUACAUGAUAAAGAUCAUCAAUUAAAGGAAGGUUUAGGAGUGUUGGUUUUGG